RNAcentral lists this small RNA (76 nucleotides) under Flavobacterium caeni. Its description in RNAcentral is "Flavo-1 RNA". It matches the Rfam family "Flavo-1 RNA". Lineage: Bacteria; Pseudomonadati; Bacteroidota; Flavobacteriia; Flavobacteriales; Flavobacteriaceae. The record is from Rfam by way of RNAcentral.
ACCGCGCCAGGGAUGGUAGCGGUUAUCCUUUUUGUGCGCCAGCGCAAAAAGAUAAAAGCGGACAGCCCGCCCGUGG